CCAGUCGGCUGGGCGACCGCUGCCGCAAGGGCCGAAAGGCCGCGGGGGAGGAAAGUCCGGGCUCCACGGAGAAACGGUGCCGGGUAACGCCCGGCGGGGGCGACCCCAGGGACAGUGCCACAGAGAACAGACCGCCUUCAUGAUCUCCGGAUCGCGGGAAGGUAAGGGUGAAACGGUGGGGUAAGAGCCCACCGCGCGACCGGCAACGGAAGCGGCACGGUAAACCCCACCGGGAGCAAAACCGAAUAGGAACGACGCGGCGGGCAACCGUCAGCCCUCUCCGGGCCGGUCGUUCGGGUGGGUUGCUUGAGGCGGCGCGCGAGCGUCGUCCCAGAGGAAUGGUCGCCCAAGGCAGCUUCCGAGCUGCCGGACAGAACCCGGCUUACAGGCCGACUGGCAUU
This 401-nucleotide RNase P RNA is filed under the name Aureimonas jatrophae. RNAcentral's name for it is "Bacterial RNase P class A". It matches the Rfam family "Bacterial RNase P class A". Rfam says of the family: Ribonuclease P (RNase P) is a ubiquitous endoribonuclease, found in archaea, bacteria and eukarya as well as chloroplasts and mitochondria. Lineage: Bacteria; Pseudomonadati; Pseudomonadota; Alphaproteobacteria; Hyphomicrobiales; Aurantimonadaceae. The record is from Rfam by way of RNAcentral.